GUGAGUAAUGCAUAGGAAUCUGCCCGAUAGUGGGGGAUAACCUGGGGAAACCCAGGCUAAUACCGCAUACGUCCUACGGGAGAAAGGGGGCUUCGGCUCCCGCUAUCGGAUGAGCCUAUGUCGGAUUAGCUAGUUGGUGAGGUAAAGGCUCACCAAGGCAACGAUCCGUAGCUGGUCUGAGAGGAUGAUCAGCCACAUCGGGACUGAGACACGGCCCGAACUCCUACGGGAGGCAGCAGUGGGGAAUAUUGGACAAUGGGGGCAACCCUGAUCCAGCCAUGCCGCGUGUGUGAAGAAGGCCCUCGGGUUGUAAAGCACUUUCAGCGAGGAAGAACGCCUAGCGGUUAAUACCCGCUAGGAAAGACAUCACUCGCAGAAGAAGCACCGGCUAACUCCGUGCCAGCAGCCGCGGUAAUACGGAGGGUGCAAGCGUUAAUCGGAAUUACUGGGCGUAAAGCGCGCGUAGGUGGCUUGAUAAGCCGGUUGUGAAAGCCCCGGGCUCAACCUGGGAACGGCAUCCGGAACUGUCAAGCUAGAGUGCAGGAGAGGAAGGUAGAAUUCCCGGUGUAGCGGUGAAAUGCGUAGAGAUCGGGAGGAAUACCAGUGGCGAAGCGGCCUUCUGGACUGACACUGACACUGAGGUGCG
This 646-nucleotide ribosomal RNA is filed under the name uncultured bacterium. RNAcentral describes it as "bacterial SSU rRNA". It matches the Rfam family "Bacterial small subunit ribosomal RNA", at positions 106 to 755 of the family's 1533-position model. The record is from RNAcentral.